Molecule: ribosomal RNA, 395 nt
Filed under: uncultured bacterium
Lineage: Bacteria
Description: bacterial SSU rRNA
Rfam family: Bacterial small subunit ribosomal RNA
Source: RNAcentral
AUUGAACGCUGGCGGCAUGCCUUACACAUGCAAGUCGAACGGCAGCACGGACUUCGGUCUGGUGGCGAGUGGCGAACGGGUGAGUAAUGCAUCGGAACGUGCCAUUGAGUGGGGGAUAACGUAGCGAAAGUUGCGCUAAUACCGCAUAUUCUGUGAGCAGGAAAGCAGGGGACCGCAAGGCCUUGCGCUCUUUGAGCGGCCGAUGUCAGAUUAGCUAGUUGGUGAGGUAAAGGCUUACCAAGGCGACGAUCUGUAGCGGGUCUGAGAGGAUGAUCCGCCACACUGGAACUGAGACACGGUCCAGACUCCUACGGGAGGCAGCAGUGGGGAAUUUUGGACAAUGGGGGCAACCCUGAUCCAGCCAUGCCGCGUGAGUGAAGAAGGCCUUGGGUUGU